RNAcentral lists this ribosomal RNA (446 nucleotides) under uncultured bacterium. Its description in RNAcentral is "partial 16S ribosomal RNA". It matches the Rfam family "Bacterial small subunit ribosomal RNA", at positions 354 to 796 of the family's 1533-position model. The record is from RNAcentral.
GUAAGGAAUAUUGGUCAAUGGGGGCAACCCUGAACCAGCCAUGCCGCGUGAAGGAUGAAGGCGUUAUGCGUUGUAAACUUCUUUUGUAUGGGAAGAAUGACAGGGAUUUAUCCUUGGAGAGACGGUACCAUACGAAUAAGCACCGGCUAACUUCGUGCCAGCAGCCGCGGUAAUACGAAGGGUGCAAGCGUUGUUCGGAAUCAUUGGGCGUAAAGCGCGCGCAGGCGGGUCAGUAAGUCAGGUGUGAAAUCUCGGAGCUCAACUCCGAAACUGCACCUGAAACUAUUGGUCUAGAGUAUCGGAGGGGACAGGGGAAUUUCACGUGUAGGGGUAAAAUCCGUAGAGAUGUGAAGGAACACCGGAGGCGAAGGCGCCUGUCUGGACGAUUACUGACGCUGAGGCGCGAAAGCGUGGGGAGCAAACAGGAUUAGAUACCCUUGUAGUCC